Molecule: ribosomal RNA, 194 nt
Filed under: uncultured bacterium
Lineage: Bacteria
Description: partial 16S ribosomal RNA
Rfam family: Bacterial small subunit ribosomal RNA
Source: RNAcentral
CUGCAACUCGCCUGCAUGAAGCUGGAAUUGCUAGUAAUCGCGGAUCAGCAAGCCGCGGUGAAUACGUUCCCGGGCCUUGUACACACCGCCCGUCACACCAUGAGAGUCGGGAACACCCGAAGUCCGUAGUCUAACCGCAAGGGGGCGCGGCCGAAGGUGGGUCCGGUAAUUGGGUGAAGUCGUAACAAGGUAUC